Molecule: ribosomal RNA, 517 nt
Filed under: uncultured bacterium
Lineage: Bacteria
Description: bacterial SSU rRNA
Rfam family: Bacterial small subunit ribosomal RNA
Source: RNAcentral
AGUUGAUCCUGGCUCAGGAUGAACGCUAGCGACAGGCUUAACACAUGCAAGUCGAGGGGCAGCACGGGAGUAGCAAUACAACUGGUGGCGACCGGCGCACGGGUGAGUAACGCGUAUGCAACCUACCUAUCAGAGGGGAAUAACCCGGCGAAAGUCGGACUAAUACCGCAUAAAACAGGGGCACCGCAUGGUGAUAUUUGUUAAAGAGAUUCGCUGAUAGAUGGGCAUGCGUUCCAUUAGGUAGUUGGUGAGGUAACGGCUCACCAAGCCGACGAUGGAUAGGGGAACUGAGAGGUUGGUCCCCCACACUGGUACUGAGACACGGACCAGACUCCUACGGGAGGCAGCAGUGAGGAAUAUUGGUCAAUGGGCGGGAGCCUGAACCAGCCAAGUCGCGUGAAGGAAAGAAGGAUCUAUGGUUCGUAAACUUCUUUUGCAGGGGAAUAAAGUGCAGGACGUGUCCUGUUUUGUAUGUACCCUGAGAAUAAGGAUCGGCUAACUCCGUGCCAGCAGCUGC